GGCCUGAUGGCUCAGUUGGUUAGAGCAUUGUCCCAUACACUACAAGGUUACAGGUUCAAUUCCCGGUCAGGGCA
This 74-nucleotide transfer RNA is filed under the name Myotis brandtii (Brandt's bat). It matches the Rfam family "tRNA". Rfam says of the family: Transfer RNA (tRNA) molecules are approximately 80 nucleotides in length. Their secondary structure includes four short double-helical elements and three loops (D, anti-codon, and T loops). The record is from Rfam by way of RNAcentral. Lineage: Eukaryota; Metazoa; Chordata; Mammalia; Chiroptera; Vespertilionidae.